CGAACGGAAAGGCCCUUCGGGGUACUCGAGUGGCGAACGGGUGAGUAACACGUGGGUGAUCUGCCCUGCACUUUGGGAUAAGCCUGGGAAACUGGGUCUAAUACCGAAUAUGAUCAUGCUCUUCAUGGGGUGUGGUGGAAAGCUUUUGCGGUGUGGGAUGGGCCCGCGGCCUAUCAGCUUGUUGGUGGGGUAAUGGCCUACCAAGGCGACGACGGGUAGCCGGCCUGAGAGGGUGACCGGCCACACUGGGACUGAGAUACGGCCCAGACUCCUACGGGAGGCAGCAGUGGGGAAUAUUGCACAAUGGGCGCAAGCCUGAUGCAGCGACGCCGCGUGAGGGAUGACGGCCUUCGGGUUGUAAACCUCUUUCAGCACAGACGAAGCGCAAGUGACGGUAUGUGCAGAAGAAGACCGCCA
This 417-nucleotide ribosomal RNA is filed under the name Mycobacteriaceae bacterium Ellin7044. RNAcentral's name for it is "bacterial SSU rRNA". It matches the Rfam family "Bacterial small subunit ribosomal RNA", at positions 63 to 499 of the family's 1533-position model. The record is from RNAcentral. Lineage: Bacteria; Bacillati; Actinomycetota; Actinomycetes; Mycobacteriales; Mycobacteriaceae.